This 671-nucleotide ribosomal RNA is filed under the name uncultured bacterium. RNAcentral describes it as "bacterial SSU rRNA". It matches the Rfam family "Bacterial small subunit ribosomal RNA", at positions 165 to 852 of the family's 1533-position model. The record is from RNAcentral.
AAUACCGCAUACGGUUCUUGGAAGGCAUCUUCUAAGAAAGAAAGGAUUUAUUCGGUAAAAGAUGGGCCCGCAUCUGAUUAGCUAGUUGGUGAGAUAAUAGCCCACCAAGGCAACGAUCAGUAGCCGACCUGAGAGGGUGACCGGCCACAUUGGGACUGAGACACGGCCCAAACUCCUACGGGAGGCAGCAGUGGGGAAUAUUGCACAAUGGGCGAAAGCCUGAUGCAGCAACGCCGCGUGAAGGAAGACGGUUUUCGGAUUGUAAACUUCUAUCAAUAGGGAAGAAAGAAAUGACGGUACCUAAAUAAGAAGCCCCGGCUAACUACGUGCCAGCAGCCGCGGUAAUACGUAGGGGGCAAGCGUUAUCCGGAAUUACUGGGUGUAGAGGGAGAGUAGGCGGCAAGGUAAGCGAUAUGUGAAAGCCUUAAGCUUAACUAAAGGAUUGCAUAACGAACUAUCUAGCUAGAGUACAGGAGAGGAAAGCGGAAUUCCUAGUGUAGCGGUGAAAUGCGUAGAUAUUAGGAAGAACACCAGUGGCGAAGGCGGCUUUCUGGACUGAAACUGACGCUGAGGCUCGAAAGCGUGGGGAGCGAACAGGAUUAGAUACCCUGGUAGUCCACGCUGUAAACGAUGAGUGCUAGGUGUCGGGGAGGAAUUCCCGGUGCCGGAGC